Molecule: ribosomal RNA, 396 nt
Filed under: Polypedates teraiensis (Terai tree frog)
Lineage: Eukaryota; Metazoa; Chordata; Amphibia; Anura; Rhacophoridae
Description: partial 16S ribosomal RNA
Rfam family: Bacterial large subunit ribosomal RNA
Source: RNAcentral
GUCCAGCCUGCCCAGUGAAUCUUAAACGGCCGCGGUAUCCUAACCGCGCGAAGGUAGCAUAAUCACUUGUUCUUUAAAUGGGGACUCGUAUCAACGGCAUCACGAGGGCUUUACUGUCUCCUCUUUUUGAUCAGUGAAAUUGAUCUUCCCGUGAAGAAGCGGGAAUAUUUUUAUAAGACGAGAAGACCCCAUGGAGCUUUAAACCAAAUAGCAACUUAACCACUUAUCCCACAAUAAAUUUAAGCCCUGUUAUACGGUUUUCGGUUGGGGUGACCGCGGAGUAAAGCAUAUCCUCCACGACGGAAAGAACACAAUCUUUAUUUAAGAACCACAUUUCUAAAAAUUAGUAUACUAACGUUUACUGACCCGACAAUCGAUCAACGAACCAAGUUACCC